AGAAUCAACGCUGGCGGCGGUGCCUAACGACGAUGCAAGUCGCACGAGAAAGGGACUUCGGUCCUGAGUACAGUGGCGCACGGGUGAGUAACACGUGAAUCAUCUACCUCCGAGUGGGGAAUAACUGAGAGAAAUCUUAGCUAAUACCGCAUAACACUUACGAGUCAAAGCAGCAAUGCGCUUGGAGAGGAGUUCGCGGCAGAUUAGUUAGUUGGCGGGGUAAUGGCCCACCAAGACGAUGAUCUGUAUCCGGCCUGAGAGGGCGCACGGACACACUGGAACUGAAACACGGUCCAGACUCCUACGGGAGGCAGCAGUGGGGAAUUUUGCGCAAUGGGGGAAACCCUGACGCAGCAACGCCGCGUGGAGGAUGAAAUCCCUUGGGAUGUAAACUCCUUUCGAUAGGGAAGAUAAUGACGGUACCUAUAGAAGAAGCCCCGGCUAACUUCGCGCCAGCAGCCGC
This 463-nucleotide ribosomal RNA is filed under the name uncultured bacterium. RNAcentral describes it as "SSU rRNA". It matches the Rfam family "Bacterial small subunit ribosomal RNA", at positions 26 to 518 of the family's 1533-position model. The record is from RNAcentral.